This is a non-coding RNA of Aegilops tauschii subsp. strangulata, 27061 nucleotides long. Lineage: Eukaryota; Viridiplantae; Streptophyta; Magnoliopsida; Poales; Poaceae. The record is from RefSeq and is a predicted model, not a curated record.
GAAAAAUAUUCCUUCUUAUUGAAAUGUUCACAAAUUCAAAAUGUUCGUGAUUAAAAACACAUUUUUGAAAAUGGUUCUGAAUUCAAAAUAAGUUUCCAUUUUCAAGGAUUGUUUACAAAUUAAAAAAUGUCAGUUUCUCCGCCUUAAAAAACGUCUUGUUUUCAAAAAAAUGUUUGUGAAUUUCAAGAAAUGUUCCUAUUUCAAGUUUUGUUUGCCUUUUUCCUGGAAUUAACAAAUUUUUCAAAAAAAUACUCGCAUAUUUUAUAAAAAAAAUCAGGAGGUCACCACAACAUCGACAAGGAGGCGGACCUGAAGUAAGAAAACGCAAGAGUUGGGUAGUGGCUGCCACUCCGACCCCCACUACUAUAAAGAUCUCACAGGCCAAACAUGACCCGCGAGAACACCACAGCUCUCCGCUUUGUCGCCCCACUGUUCUGGAGACCAUUUUGAUGGACACAUCAAUUAUCUCUCCCGAUGCUUCUUACAAAAAAAUCUCUCCCGUUGCAAUGCAUGGGCAUAUGUGCUAGUAACAAAAAAAAAGGAAAAACAAGAAAGAACCGUGAAGAAAAAAAACGUUCCCUAGCUACUUGGGCCGGCCCAUAUGCGGUUUGCUCGCUGCAAUGCAAUGGGCCUUGGGCCGCGCACGUCUAUCCCGGUCUGCCCCCCUCGCUCGUCCGGUUCGUCUAGGAGGAAAACCCUAUUUGCCGCUCUAGCAGAGCAAGGGAUGAUGCUAAAAAAAAAGCAGAGCAAGCUUUUAGAUCCAAGCACGCCGCCGGCUUUAAAGACCUGGGGAUGUAGAUCGAGAGAGCAGUCAGGCGGCGGCGGCGACUCGCGAGUACAGGCACGACGGCGGCUGGGCAUCGUCGGGUUCGGGAGUUGGAGGGGAUGAGGGGGAGGCGGCGGCGCGGCGGGCGCCUGGGGUCUCGGCAUCCGACCUCAGGUCCAAGCUGCCGACGGAGACUGCUGCGCCGCGAGCACGCUGAGAGCCUGAGGUAGCUGGACGACUGCCACGGCGAUGCACAAGGAGGCGAGCCCGAGGCGGUGGGCGGCGGCGGAUCCAGUCAUGCUCCUCCUCGAAUUCCCCGUCGUCGUGCUACCGAGGGCGUCUUCGCCCACAUCUCCUCACGCCGGUGCGCAUGGCGCCUCCUGCCGCUGGUUCCGCCUGCCGGUCGCGACGCGGUAAAAGAACAGAGCAUGUGCUCGCGGCGGAGGAUGCUCUCUCGCUGCCGCGGAACGCUCGCCUCGCCCGCCACCACGGACAAGGCAACAAAAUGGAGCUAUCCUUUCCAUUAGCAUAUUCCUGAAGGAUUUAUUUUGCACAUAAAAGUGAUGGCUUGGGCCUUUGGCACCAUGGCGGCAUCAGUUUGCACGUUGUCGCUCCACUUGUAUUGCUGGUUGCAAAGUAAGGUGCGAACAGUCCAUCGCCGUAUGUUAGGAGGUGAAACUUAAGCACUAUAUAGUGAAAAUUUCUCUAGCGUUGUGGGAGCUGCUGCUGUUGCAUUUAAAUCGGUUUGUCCAAAUCGACAGUCCGAGGCUCCAGCUGAUGCAGUCGCAACCCCACCUCUAGAUCAGCUCACCACCCAACCAGUUACACUCAGUUAUGUGUCAGUUUUGAUUCAUUCUACAUAAUUAUUGGAACUCUGGAAUGACCAAAUCUCAAUUCUGCUUCAAAGGUAAUGAUUCUGUUUUAUCAACCACCCUAAAUUUGUCCACAACUGAUGUUUACGACAUGGUUAUCUAUUUCACACAUUCUUAUUCUAUGUAUAUUGUUAUUAUAUUUUCAUUUCCUUAGUUGUGUUGCUGUUUAGUUGACUGUUAAGUUUACGGUUAUUUCCCCUGCAAAAAAAAGGUUAUGGUCUUUUAUUAUUCCAAAAGAGAAAAGCAUGUUUCUUUGUAGGAGACUAGCUGCUAUAUAGGCUUGCGUAUUUUGUAAUGUUUCUUUUACAAACAUAUGAUGUUAUAGAGUGUAGACACGGGCCUAGACAUUUAGCCAAACCUACCUAUAGCAUUUCUAAAACGAUAUAAUUAUAACGGUUACAUGUAAAUUACGUGUGUAGAUUUAUCCCUUUUUCUCAUACGCCUUAGUAGAUUCUAAAAAUAUGGUGUGAUGUAUAAAAGUUUAUGGUCAACGCUAGUUUAGUGUUUGGGUCAAAUUAUUAUUUGAAAGUAGGGGUUAAAGUUUGCCAAGAAAAAAACAGAUUAUUAUUUCAGAUUGAUAGAGUACGACAAUAUCCCACCCGGUCUUGUUUCCAUCAAAAGUGUGUCCCCACUUUGUUGAAGAAUACACCUACCAUUUUGGUAGUGGGACUAACUCAUCUCAGCGGUUUUGUUUGGGCCUCAUUCCCCUAAUACGCUAGUAAUCGUCUCAUUUCCCAUAUUUCCCUUAGUCUCACUCCCAAUCACUUCACGAUCCAAGGAAGGGAAUGCCAGCAGCCAUGGCGACAGUGUCCCCUUCGGCCAUUCAUGCCACUUGAGAGGAUGAAGGCUCUAGUGACGUCACGCGAGAGACAUCAGCGCAAGUGAGGUUGCCACCAUCCUUGUUGCGACGACAAGGCCACAACAGGGGGUACAACGGGAUGGUGGAUGACGGCAUUGCAGAAGGAGGUGCCGACCACUCAUUUGACCCAGGGAAGCAAAAAUAAUGUGCAAUGUUUUAGUCCCAUACUGCUACUAAAUAAGGAUCUCGGUCGAGAGAAUCUAGAGUAUGGUGUGUGGUCUAGAAAAGGAGCAAGAGUGCACUCGAGCAUGUUUAGGGGGAGGUAUGUUCGGGGCGGAGGCCACAUGGGGGAGCUAUGCCCGGCUGGAUGACCGUAAAGGGCGAGGGUGAAUUCCUUCUUUUAAGUAUAAAAGUAUACCCCCUUUGUUCACUAUUAUGAGAUAUUUUGGAUAUUUUAAUAUGAACUACAUACAGAAAUGAGUGAACAAAACACACUAAAACGUGUCUAUGUACACCUGAUUCAGAAAAAAGUUAGAACAUCUUAUAAUCGUUAAUGGAGGGAGUACUAGAGAAUAAAAUCCUUCCCUAGCUAAUGGUGGAUUAACAAAACUGAGUCUGAAGAGAGAGAGGAACUAUUUGAUCCUGCACAUUGGAGCAUACAAAGGAAGCAUCGACACCAAUAUAUUUGGUGAGUUAUGUUGCACAGGGUCGUGCACAAUACUGAUAGCACCUGUACUCUCUGACAACAGAGGAGUAGGUGAGUGACAACACCUGUACUCUACAACAGAGGAGUAGGUGUAGUGAUAGGAAAAAAAAUCCUUAAGCUACCAUCAUAUGCCUUUGUUGUCAAAAGAGCCAUAGUUUGCAACUCAGCCUUUGCACUAGAAGGGAAAAGGGCAAUCGGUUUCUUUGUCUUCUAGGCAAUGAGAAAACCAUCAAGAAAACACAGUAAGUAGAAAGGGACGUGCGAACUUGAGUUUAGGAAGAAGAGAGACGGUGAGACAUAUUUCCACGAAGAUAUCGUAGAACAGGGGGUGACUCAAGUGGAUAAAAGUGAGAGUAGAGACAAAGUGACUUAGACUGAGAACGUGAUAUGAAAUGUCUGGACGAGUGACAUCUAAAUAGACAAGACUCCCAACAAGAUGAUGAUAGCGUGUCAGAUCAAACAAAGGUGGAUGUUGAGCUCCAUGGGAGUGUUAUGCCACUUGAGAGGAUGAAGGCUCUAGCAACAUCGUGCAAGAGGCAUUGGUGCUAGCGAGUUUGCCACCAUCCUAGCCACGACGACAAUGCCGCAGAGCAUAUAGUUGAGGGUAGAGUAGAAAAGUGGAGCGACGGCGCCGCAGGAGGAGGUGCACUCGAACGGGGGGCACUACACUGCAGUCUGUUUCUUCUUUCGGGCGAGUGCGAGACAGAUAGACAAGGUUCACAACAAAAUGUCGAUAAAGCGCCAGAUCAGACAGUAGGUCAACGUCAGUAGCAGGGAGGUGAACAUUGAGCUCCAUGGGAGUCUCAACAUGCGCUCAUUAGUAAGAGCAGCGUGAGUAGGAAGAUCCUAAAUUAUUAUUUUUCAGCAUGAAGGGACCUCAAUCCCAAGAAAGUAGCAUAGAGGGCCAAAAUAAAACAUAAGAAACUGCAUACUAAGACAUGCCUUAACAAAGGCAAUAUACUCACUGUCUGCGUCAGUGAUGAUCAUGUCAUCAACAUGUAGAAGAAGAGUCCUACCAAGAAUAGAAAGGAGGACAAACAAUGUCGGAUCAUGAGCACUCGAUGAAAACCAGCAGUAGCCAUCAUAGAGGCAAAACGCUCAAACCAGGUGUGAGGGGCUUGCUUAGAGCCAUAGUGAGAGUGACGAAGACGAGAAAGCAUGUCAUAAGGAGCAGCUCACCAUUAAGAAAUGCAUUCUUAACAUCAAGCCUAGAACAGAUCAGUGGCGAACAGAGGCCACAAUAAGAAGUGUGCAAACAGUGGUGAGCAAAAGUCUCAUUGUAAUCAGGACCAUGCUCCUGCUGAAAGCCAUUACCCACAACUCGAGCUUUGUAACGCCCAAGAGAACCAUCAGAGUGAGUCCUAACCUUGUAGACCCACCAAGUGAUGGGACAAACACGAGGAGGAACAUAUACAAUAUCCCACGCGCCGAUGCGCUCAAGAGCAGUAGUCUCCUCUGCCAUCACAAGGUGCCAUUUGGUAUGAACAACAUCACAAUAAGAAGUUGGCUCAAGAACAACAUCGCCAAUGCUUGGAAGACCUAGGCGGUCAAUAGGCCAAAGCGGACGAGGACGCAAGCCAUAAGUAGGCUGAGACGGGGAAGAUGGCACAUCGGUAGACGCAUCCACAACACGUAGACGUCCUGUAUAGAAAUUAGGAAAAGAUGGAAGAAUACGAGUUGGAAUCAUCGGGAUAAACUCAGGUGAUGGAGACAAGGAAGCCACCGGUGAUGAAGGUGUAGUAUCAUGUGAUAAGUGAGGUGAGGAAAUUAUAGGAGAUGAUGGCGUUGGUUCUACAAUAAUCAGAGAAGCAGGAGCAGUACGAUGACUGGAUAAGGGUUCAAUAGAAGUGGUAGGAGUGUCGGGAAAAUUGUGGAAAGAGAUAUACUCCACCUAAAAGGCCGAAGAAGAUGGACUCAACAAAAGUCAUAUCCCGAGAAAUAGGCAUACAACGAUGAACAUGAUCCCAAAAUGAUAUCCCUUAUGCUCAUCGUUGUAUCCUAAGAAGACACACUCAAUAGACUGACAAGUCAAUUUGGUGCGUUCACGAGGGGCAAGGACGUAGCAAACACAACCAAACAAUUGAAGCGCCGAAUAAAUGAUCAAAUAGACGGUCGAAAGGAGCGUCACCCUGCAGAGCAGUGGAUUGCUAAAGGUUGAUGAGAUAGAUAGAAGUGGAGACAAACUCGACCCAAAAGUGUGACGGAAGAGAUGCGGUGACCAUAACGGACGAGUCGUCUCAAGAAGGUGACGAUGCUUGUGCUCAACCACGCCAUUUUUAGCAUGAGCACCAGGAUAAGAGAACCAAAGUCUGCUAAAAAAGGAUUCCACCAGAGUCAUCAUAGAACACAUGAAUAGGUGUAGAGAAUUGAGUGUGAACCAUGGCAGCAAAAGGCUUAUAAGACCUCACUACAAGAAGAAAUAAAGUAUAUCAGGUGUGUCGAGAGAAGUUACUACCGAAGGCAAAGGGAGAUGGACCCCUGAGAUCAUAUUGAACAAGGUCGGAAGGAUGACGACAUUGUCUUGCUAUGAGUAUAAGGUAAUUGGACCGUGGAUUAGAGACAUCAUCGGAGACGGAUCCAAGUAGACCACGUCGAACUAAGGAUGAGAGAUAACAAGUGAUCCAAGGGGAUGAUGCCAAUCCUGAAAAUAACUGGUAGACAAGGCAACAAAGGCAGAGACUGGCGAUGGUGGCGGCAGAGGGACUUGAUCUAGCAUCCCACGUGCCUAUGCACUCUUCGUACCCCACCGAUUCGGCUUGGCGUUCUUUUCCUGUUUGCGGGUUGUGGGUCACGCACUUGAUUAAGCACCCCAGGUUCUCCUACUGCGCCCUUGGCCUUGACUUUAGGUAGCGCCUGUCCUCGGCUCGUCCCGUGCAUAAACCAGGUACGCGUCGACUGUCCGAGCUCCUGCUCACCAUUGGUGGUGCUCGAGCGUGCGGUUAUGGUGUCGCACAUAAAGGGAACACGGGAUGUGGGAUUGAGACAGUACUCAUAGCAGCCCGCAACAAGGCAAAGAAUGCCCAUCCAGACUGGCAGGGAGCAAAGGUGGGCACAAAGGUGGACGUUGACUCGAAGUCUCAAAAGUGCGCUCAUCAGUAAGAGCAGCACGAGCAAGAAGAUUUUAGAUAUACUUCUCUUAGGAAAUAAGGAACAAUCUCAAAGAAGUAGUGAAGAGGACCAAGAUUCAGCAGUGACCUUAUCACUAAGAGCAGCACGAGCAAGAAGAUCCUAAAUGUACUUCUCUUGGGAAAUAAAGAAGCCAUCAGAGGUAGAAGAAACCUCAGUUCCAAGUAGUGAAAGGGACCAAGACCAGACAUUAAAUCUAUUCACUAAGACGAGCCUUCAAAAAGGCAAUGCACUCAAAGUUGUUCGUAGUGAUGAUCAUGUCAUCGACAUAUAGGAGCAAAGCUCGACCACGAGCUUAAAGAUGGAUAUAAAGUGCAGGAUGAUGAGCAUUUGGCAAAAACUAGUUGCAGUCAUCGCUGAGACAAAAACCUCAAACCGUGCACGAGGGCUAAAGGCAUAGAGAGAAUGACAAAUACGGCAGAUCAUGCCAUCAGGGGAAAAUAUCUAUGUGGUGGCUACAUGCAGACCUUCUCAUGCAACUCACCAUUAAGAAAGACAUUCUUGACAUAAGCUAAGAGACAAACCCGUGGCGAGCAAAUAUCACAACGAAAACUGUGUGAAGAGUGGUCAUGUAGGCCAUAUGAGAAAAUGUCUUGUCGUAGUCGUAGCCAUGUUCCUAUUGAAAGCCACAAGUCACAAGACGAGCUUUGUAAGGCAAGGGAACCAUCAGAGUCUAAAUCUUGUAGACACACUUACAGUAUACAAGUGAUGGUUUGAGCAUGAGGAGGAAGGGAAAUGAGAUCCCACGUGCCGGUGCGUUCAAGAGCAGCAAUCUCCUCUGCCAUUGCAUGCCGCCAUUUGGGUGAACAUGGUAUCACAGUAAAUUGUAUUGAGAAGAGCAGCGCCAGAACACCCAUAGUGAUCAAUAGGUGGAAGCGGGCAAGCGCAGAAGCUAGGUUGAGCUGGAGGUAGUGCGUUUCCAACAGAAGGAGACAUAGUAGUGGAGGGAGAUGGCUCAUCGAAAGAUGACACAUCAGAAGAAUCCACAAGAUGCGGACGGCUAGUGUAGUAAAGAAGAGGAUGCGGGAGAAUCACUGGGGAAGUAUUAGGGGAUGAAUGAGGUGGGGAAGCCGCAGGUGAUGAUGAGGUACAGGGAGACACAUUGGAAUGGAUCUAGGAGGGCAAAACAUGAGUGAUAGCUAUAUCGAAAAAUACUAGGAAAGAAAUAUCCUCAAUGGGAGAGGCCGAAGGAGAGGAUGGACAUGGAUAGAAAGGACGAGACUCGUCAAAAGUCACACCCUGAGGAAUGCGCAUUCGCCGAUCGAUAGGACCCAACACACAAAGCGCUCAGUAGCCAUGAGAACGAUCAACAGACACUCGAGAGGAAUGUCACCUUGCAAAGCAAGGAAGGCUGACUGUUGACGAGGUAGGUGGAAGUAGAAAUAACCUCAACCCAAAAGUGAGGUGAAAGAGAGGUGUUGAUCUUCAAUGCACAAGCCGCCUCAAGAAGUUGACGAUGCUUACGAUCAGCAAACCAUUCCGAGCAUUUGGACCACGACAUGAGAACUGAGAAAGUGUGCCCUGCUCAGCAAGGAAUCCGCACAACAAAUGAUAGAUGAACUCGCAAGCAAAAUCUUCAUGGAAGACACAAUUAGGAGUGGAAAACCCGACAUGAAGCAUGGGGGCAAACUUCUUACUGAUGGAUAAGACCUUACUACAAGAAAAGCAUACAAUAUAUCCAUGUGUGUCGAGAGAAAACAUAUGCUCCCUCCGUUCGAAAAUGGAUGUAUCUAGAUAUAUUUUAGUUCUAGAUACAUCUAUUUUUAUCCAUUUCUGCGACAAGUAUUUUCGGACGUAGGUAGUAUAAAGAUAAUAUAGUGGCGAUGGUCUCCUUUUGAGGCAAAGGGAGCUCGACCACAAACAUCAAAAUGAACAAGAUAGAAAGGAUGAGACAUAGUCUCGCUAUGAAGAUAAAGUAAUUAAACCUGUUUGCCAAGCUGACAAACCUGGCAGUCUAAAGACACAUCGCUAGAGAUAGAUCCAAGAAGACCACUUCGAACUAAGGAUGAGAAACAAUAACCACAUAAGUGACAAAGACGAUGAUGCCACAAAGAGACAGUAAACGAAGUAACCGAGGCGGAGGGACUGGCAACAGUGGCAGCAAAGGGAAGGUUAAACAAGUCAAGCUCCUAGAGGGCCUAGGAGUUACAACGACGAUGGCCAACACUAAGUAAAGCAUCCAUCUGAGGAUCCUAAUAAGAACAAGAGUUAAACUAAAGAAUGACUGUACAACCAAAGUCGACAAUCCGACCACCUGAAAUGAGCUGCAUGGGCCAAGGAAUAUGAGCAAAAGAAUAACAUGAAAAGACAAAGUAAUAAGAGUGCCUCGAUUGUCGACUUGGAGGGAAGUUCCAUCAGCAGUAAGAACAUGAACAUGAGAAUCUGAAGGUCGAAUAGCUGACAAACUCGAAGAAUCAUAAACUAUUUGAAAAUACGUCCAGUACCAAGGAUUCAUAGAGGUGUACUUGGUUGUGUAAAAGUGGUCACUCGGUACUAGAAAAAUCAGUAGCAAAACCUAUUGAUGGAGAACCCAAAGAAUCAGCUAGUAGACAUGGAAGUCGCCUAAUCUCUAGUGUAGUCAUUGUCUCAACUGAAGAGGUUGCCGAAGAAGUAUUGUGCGAUGAAACUAGAAGUAGCAAGUAGGUGUUCUGUUAAAGAUCAAACACCCCAAAAUAUUUCUCGUUCUUCUUUGUUUAGUUUAAUUUGGUUUUUGAUCGCUUUCUUUUGUGUUCCUUUGGUUUUUUUUGCUUCCUAUUGUUUUUUGUUUGUUUGUUGUUUGCUUUUAAAAGAAACCCUCCUUUUGUUCUUUUGGUGUUUUGAAGUUCUUUAUUUCUUCGUUCUCUUUGCUUUUUCUUUGGAAGUUUAUUUGUUGCCUCUUCGUUAAAACUUUGGAAAUCUUUUAUCUUUGCGUUCUUUCUUGCCUUUGAGAAAAACCAAAUAUUCUAAAUUAUUUAUGUUGUGUUUCUCUGAGUUAUUUGCAUUUUAUGUUUCAAAAAAUUCAAAAAUAUUUCUCUUUCGUUGUUCUUUUGUUUUCUUUUGGUUGUUCUUUUUGACUUUUCUUUGUUGUUUUCUUUUUGUUGUUUCUUUCGUCUUUGUGUUUAAAUUGCAAAACCCAAAAUUUCCAAAAAGAUUUUUCAUUUGCAUCUUAUUGAGUCUCAAGUGUUUGUAGUGUUUUUUUUACUUCCUGUUGUUUCUUUUGUUUGUGUGUUGUUUGCUUUUGGAAGAAACCCAAAAAGAUUUCUUUUUUCAUUUCGUUCUUUUGAAGUACUUUGAGAAAACAACAAAGAUAUUUCUUCGUUCCUUUUGCUUUUUCUUUGAAAGUUUAUUUGAUUUCGUCUUAGCUGAAUCUUCGGAAAUCUUUCAUCUGUGCUUGUUUUUGCGUUCUUGUUUGCCUUCUUUGAGAAAAGAAAAAAAUCCAAAAAUAUUUUUGAAGUGUUUCUUUGAGAUCUUUUUUGCCUUUUAUGUUUUAGAAAAUCCAAAAAUAUUUCUCUUUUGUUGUUCUUCUGUUUUCCAUUGUUUUCUUUUGGUUGCUCUUUUUGGCUUUUCUCUGCUGUUUUCUUUUUGCCGUUUCUUUCGUCUUUGUGUUUAAGUUGCAAAACCCAAACAUUCCAAAAAGAUUUCUCGUUUGUGUCUUAGUCUUAAAUGUUGUCAUUGUUUUCCGUUGGUUAUUAUUUUUGGCUUUUCUUUGCUGGUUUCUUUUUUCAUUUCUUUCGUCUAUGUGUUUAAGUUGUAAAAUCCAAACAUUCUAGAAAGAUUCUUGUUUGCGUCUUAUUGAUUCUUAGUUGUUUGAAAUGUUUUUUUGCUUCCUAUUUUUUUCUUUUGUUUGUUUGUUGUUUGCUUUUAAAAGAAAUCCAAAAUGAUUUCUUUAUCUUAUUAUCCUUUUGAUGUUAUUUGAGGAAACCACAAAAUACUUUCUCGUUCUUUUUGCUUUUUCUUUGGAUGUUUAUUUGAUUGGCUCUUUGUUGAAACUUUGAAAAUCCUUUUCCUUUGCUUCUCUUUGCCUGCUUUGAGAAAAACCCAAAAAUUCCAAAAUCAUUUCUGUGUGUUUCUCUUACUUCUUCUUUACCUUUUAUUUUUUAGAAAAUCCAAAAAUAUUUCUCUUUCGUUUAUCUUUUGUUUUUUCUUUGUUUUCUUUUGACUGUUCUUCUUGGCAUUUUUUUGGUGUUUUCUUUUUUGGUGUUUCUUCCGUUUUUGUGUUAAGUUGCAGGCGUUCAAAAAAACAUUGCAAAACCCAAAAAUUCCACAAAGAUUUCUCGUUUGAGUCUUAAGUGUUUGUAGUGUUUUUUUUCUUCCUAUUGUUAUUCCACAAAGAUUUCUCGUUUGAGUCUUAAGUGUUUGUAGUGUUUUUUUUGCUUCCUAUUGAUUCUUUUGUUUUUUGUUCUUUGCUUUUAAAAGAAACCCGAAAAGAUUGCUUUGUCCUUUUGUAGUUUUGUUCUUUUGAAGUUCUUUGAGAAAAUAAUAAUAUAUUUCUUUGUUCUUUUUUGCUUUUCCUUUGGAUGUUUAUUUGAUUUCCUAUUUGUUGAAACUUUGGAAAUCUUUUAUGUUUGCUUCUCUUUGCAUUCUUGUUUGCCUUAUUUGAGAAAAAACAAAAAAUCCAAAAUUAUUUCUGUUGUGUUUCUCUGAGUUCUUUGCCUUUUAUAUUUCAGAAAAUUCAAAAAUAUUUCUCUUUCGUUGUUCUUUUGUUUUCCUUUGUUUUUUUGGCUGUUCUUUUUGGCUUUUUCUGUUGUUUUCUCUUUGUUGUUUCUUUCGUCUUUGCGUUUAUUUAAGUUGCAAAAGUUAAAAAUUCCAAAAAGAUUUUCUCGUUUUAAGUGUUGAAGUGAACGAAUUUCUGAUUGGCUCUUAUGUGCUUUAUUGUUGAACUAAUGAAAAGACCAAAAAUAUUUCCCUCGUCUUCUCUUUUGUACAAAUUGUCCAAUAGUAAAACCUGCAAAACCGGAGAACCAAAAGAAGUAGCUACUAGACACUGAAGUCGCGUAAUCUCGAGUGUAGUGAGGGGCUCAACUGAAGAGGUUGACAAAGAAGCACAAGGCUAUGAAUAAAAACUAAAAUAAGUAGGUGUCGAAGUUGUGUAAUAUCUGUUCCUCCUCGAUCCGGUUUGGCGUCCUUCCCCUGGUUGCAGGUUUUGUGCCACGGACUUGAUGUUGCAUCCCAUGUUCCCUUUGGUGGCCCUUGGCCCCGGUGGCAGGUAGCGUUGUGCACACGUACUGUGGGUUAGACUAAUGUUGAGGAAAUCGUUAACUGGUAACUUCUCGCUUAGCUUGGGAGUAGUGAUUAAUCAUUGAAUCGGUUUAUUAACUGGAUUAAUCGGUCAACCACUAAUUGGUGGAAUUUUCAACUCAAUAGAAGCAAAUUUUGCAUGGAGGGAAAAUCUACAUUGCAAAUAGGAGGCAAAUGGCACCAUUUUCUUUUCUCAAUAGAUCACAAACAUGUAUACAACAACAAUCAUCCAUGUGGGCAUCAAAAGUCAUCAACAAACAUGUAUACAACAACAAUCAUCCAUGUGGGCAUCAAAAGUCAUCAACAAACAUGUAUACAACAACAUUUUUUGCUAAUUUCUGCCUGUGUUGCAACUCUGAGAGAUGGUGGCCACACGAUGACGACAGACAGAGGGAAGGUGACGGCCUCCGCGCUGGGCAUCUGAACAGGCCGGUUGCCGGAGGUGGUAGGUCAUGAAGGAGGGGAAGUAGUGGCGCGUAGAGGGAGAAGAGGAAGCGGCGACACACAGGGGAGGAGGGGAAGUGGCAGCACGCCGGCGAGGACCUGGUUAGUCGCCAUCUAGGUCGGGAGGGGAUGAGAGGAGCAGGAGGGGUUCUAAACCCUAGCUAUUUAGGAGUGGGAGGGUUUAUGGGCCAAAUAAUUAGGCUUUGUUUGCCCACAAGUUAACAGGCCAGCAGCGAUUAAUCAGCUUGACAACAAAUUAGUUGGUCUAAUCGACCUAGCAAGUUAACUCGAUGAAUAUGUGUUAUUCGAGUCGGCCCCGAUGAGUAGCGAUGAACUGGCCAAUUACCUGAUUAAUCGGGUGAAUUCUUGAACAGUUGGUUAGACAUUGUGGUGCCGACUGCCCCUGCUCUUGCUUCGCCGAUAGGUGGUGCUUGAGCAUUCGGCUAUGGCGCGGGAACACGGGUUUGUGGGAUCGAUACAGCGACAGAGCAACUUGUAGCUAGACAAAGGAUGCUCAACCGGACUGACAGGGAGCGGAGCAUGCACGGGGGGUGUGGUGGAGGGGUGAAAAAGCCGUCGGGAGCGGACCGCCGCCGCCAUUUAGCUUUUGGACCUGGAGUUGAGCGGUGAGGGGAUGACGAUGGGGGGAGCGAGGAAGGCCGGAAGAGGGCACCGAGAGGAGAAAUGCAUCAUCCACCCUACGCUUGUGCAUUAGCCGCGACGGCGGGCGGUUGUGGGCAGAUCCGGGUUUUGCACGUGGAUCUACUACUCGGGAUGACAUGACAUGCUUCUUGAGUGAGGUGUCACAACUAUUGGGCCGUGUGGGUGGGUUUGGAGAGUCCGUGUUGUGCUCCGGUUAAGCCUUCAUGAAGAAACGAACCAAGUGUAAAUCAAAAGGCACAUAUUGAAGAGUAAAAAUAUGAUUUUGCACUCUGGAGUGCACGAAUGCACGAACGAGGCAUCAACAUUAAUAUGCUUGGUGAGCUCAUGCUUCAUAUGGUGAGGUGCAAUCCUGAUAGCACAUAUACUGUAUGGUGUGAUAAGAGAAGAGUAAUGUAGUGAUAGAAACACCAAAAUCCUCAAGGUCGUUAAUGAACGACACCGGGUUUGGAGAGAGAGGGAAGCCGUGAGCUAUGCUCUGUCUGAGUCUUUGUGAAGAAACGGACCAAGUGUAAAUCGAAAGGCACAUACUAAAGAGCAAUUAUCUGAUCUUGCACAUUGGAGCACACGAAGGACGCAUCAACACAAAUAUGCUUGGCGAGUUCAUGCUUCACAGGGUCAUGCGCAACACUGAUAGCAUUUGUACUGCCUGACAAGGAAGGCGUAGGUCUAGUGACAAAAACACCAAAAUCCUCAAGCAACCGUCGUAACCAAGUCACCUUGGUUGUCAGCAGAGUUAUAGCUUGCAACUCAACCUCUGCACUCAAAAGGGAAAAGUGUAGUCUGUUUCUUUGUGUUUCGGGGAAUGAGAAAACCAUCAAGAAAAACACAGUAAGUAGAAAGGGACGAGUGAACUUGAGCAUAGGAUUAAGAGAGACGGGGAGAGGUAGUUCCACAAAGAUAUCAUAGAACAGGGGGAGGUGACUCAAGUGGAUGAGAGUGGGAGGUGUCAACAGUGACCUUAUCACUAAGAGCAUCACAAGUAAGAAGAUACUGAAUGUACUUAUCUUUGGGAAAUAAAGAAGCCAUCAGAGGCAAAAGAAACCUGAAUUCCAAGGAAGUAGCAAAGAGGACCAAUAUCAAACAUAAAAACUAUUCACUAAGACGAGCCUUAAAAAAGGCAAAUGCACUUAGAGUUGUUGGCAGUGAUGGUCAUGUCAUCGACAUAUAGAAGCAAUGUUCGACCUUGAGCUGAAAGAUGGAUAUACAGUGUAGAUCAUGAGCAUUUGGCAAAAACUAGUCGCAGUCAUUGCUGAAACAGAAAACUCAAUUCGGACGAUACAGGCUAAAGGCAUAGAGAUAGCGACGAAGACGCCAGAUCGUGCCAUCAGGAAAAAGAUAUCUAGGUGGUGGCUACAUGUAGACCUUCUCAUGCAACUCACGAUUAAGAAAGACAUUCUUGACAUCAAGCUGAGAGACAGAUCAGUGGCGAGCAAAUAUCACAGCGAGAAGUGUGAGAAGAGUGGUCAUGUAGGCCAUAUGAGCAAAUGUUUCAUCUUAGUCAUAGCCAUGAUCCUGUUGAAAGCCAUGGGUCACAAGACGAGCUUUCUUACGCAAGAGAACCAUCAGAGUCUAAAUCUUGUAAACCCACCUACAAGAUACAAAAGUGAUGGGAUGAGCAUAGGGAGGAAGGGAAAUGAGAUCCCACGUGCCGGUGCAUUCAAGAGUAGCAAUCUCCUCUGCCAUCGCAUGUCGCCGUUCAGGAUGAGCAUGGCGUCACGGUAUGUCGUAUUGAGAAGAGCAGCGCUAGAAUACCCAUAGCGAUCAAUAUGCGGAAGCGGGCGAGCGCAGAAGCCAUAAGUAGGUUGAGCUAGAGGCGGUGCAUUGCCAACAGAAGGAGAUAUAAUAGUCGAGGGAGAUGGCUCAUCGAAAGAUGACACAUUAGAAGAAUCUGCAAGAUGCGGACCCUAGUGCAGUAAAGAAGAGGAUUGGGGGGAAUCAUCGGGGAAGUCUUAGGCAAUGAACAAGGUGGGGAAGCCGCAGGUGACGAUGACAUGGGGUCUACGGCAAUAGUACAAGAAGACACAUUGGAAUGGAAGAGGGCAAUACGUGAGUGAUAGGACACAUCAACACCAAUAUGGUCGGUGAGUUCAUGCUUUUCAGGGUCGUGCGCAAUAUUGAUAGCAUUUGUACUGUCUGACAAGGGAGGAGUAGGCCUAGUGACAAAAACAUCAAAAUCCUCAAGGAACCAUCGUAACCAAGUCACCUCUGUUGUCAAUAGAGGUAUAGCUUGCAACUCAGCCUUUGCACUCAAAUUGUAAAGCGUAGUCUGUUUCUUUGUCUUUCGGGCAAUGAGAAAACCAUCAAGAAAACACAGUAAGUACAAAGGGACGAGCGAACUUGUGCAUAGGAAUAAGAGAGAGACGGUGAGAGGUAGUUCUACAAAGAUAUUGUAGAACCGCAGGGGGGUGACUCAAAGUGGAUUAAAGUGGGAGUAGUGACAAACUGACUUAGAAUGAGAACGUGAUAUGUCUGGACGAGUGACAUCUAAAUACAAGACUCCCAACAAGAUGACGGUAGCGCGUCAGAUCAAACAAAGGCUCAUUGUCAGAAGCACAAAGGUGGACGUUGAGCUCCAUGGCAGCGUCAAUACUGACUAUCACUAAGAGCGGCACGAGCAAGAAGAUACUGAAUGAAUUCUCUUAGGAAAUUAAAAAGCCAUCAGAGGUAGAAUAAACCUCAAUUCCAAGGAAGUAACAAAGAGGACCAAUAUUAGACAUAAAAACUAUUCACUAAGACAAACCUUCAAAAAAGGCAAUGCACUCAGAGUUGUUGGCAGUGAUGAUCAUGUCAUCAACAUAUAGAAGCAAAGUUUGACCCUGAGCUGAAAGAUGCUAUAAAGUGCAAAUCAUAAGCAUUUGGCAAAAACUAGUUGCAGUCAUCGCUGAGACAAACACUCAAACCGGACACGAGAGGCUAAAGGCAUAGAGAGAGCGACAAAGACGACAGAUCGUGCCAUCAGGAAAAAAUAUCUAGGUGGUGGCUACAUGUAUACCUUCUCAUGCAACUCACCAUUAAGAAAGACAUUCUUGACAUCAAGCUGAGAGACAGACUAGUGGCGAACAAAUAUCACAGGAGAAGUGCACGAAGAGUGGUCAUGUGAGCCAUAUGAGCAAAUGUCUCAUCGUAGUCAUAGCCAUCUUCAUGUUGAAAGCCACAUGUCACAAGACGAGCUUUCUAACGCAAGAUAAUCAUUAGAGUCUAAAUCUUGUAGACCUACUUACAAUAUACAGGUGAUGGGAUGAGCAUGGGAGGAAGGAAAAUGAGAUCGCACGCGUCGGUGUGUUCAAUAGCAGCAAUCUCCUCUGCCAUCACAUGUCGAUGUUCGGGAUGAACAUGGCGUCACGUUAAGUCGUAUUGAGAAGAGCAACGCUAGAAUGCCCAUAGCAAUCAAUAAGUGGAAGCGGGCGAGCGUAGAAGCCAUAAGUAGGUUGAGCUGGAGGAGGUGCGUUGUCAACAGAAGGAGACAUAGUAGUCGAGGGAGAUAGCUCAUCGAAAGAUGACGCAUCAGAAGAAUUCACAAGAUGUGGACAACUAGUUUAGUAAAGAAGAGGAUGAGGAUGAAUCGCCUGGGAAGCCUUAGGGGACGAACGAGGUUGGGAAGCCCCAGGUGACGAUGACGUGGGGUCUACAAUAGUUGUACAGGAAGACACAUUGGAAUGGAUGGACAAGGGCAAUACAGUAUCGGCAAAAGCCAGGAAAGAAAUAUCCUCAAUGACAGAGGCUGAAGGACAGAAUUGACGUGGAUAGAAAGGACGAGGCUCAUCAAAAGUAAGGAAGACUCGAAAAGACACUCGAGAGGAAUAUCACCCUGCAAAGCAAGGAAGGAUGACUGUUGAUCAGGUAGGUGGAUGCAGAAACAACCUCCACCCAAAAAUAAGGUGGAAGAGAUGCGUUGAUCUUCAAUGCACAAGCUGCCUCAAGAAGGUGACGAUGCUUAGCAAACAAUUCUGAGCAUCAGGACCACGGCAAGAGAACUGAGAAAGUGCGCCCUGCUCAGCAAGGAAUCCGCGCAAUAAAUGAUUGAUAAACUCGCAAGCAAAAUUUGCAUGGAAGACAUAGAUAGGAGUGGAAAACCGGGUAUGAAGCAUGGCGGCAAACUUCUUACUGAUAGAUAAGACCUCAAUAGAAGAAAAGCAUAAAAUAUAUCCAUGUGUGUCGAGAGAAAUCAUCUAUAAAGAUAAUAUAGUAGCGAUGUCCUCCUUUUGAGGCAAAGGGACCUGGACCCCAAACAUCGAAGUGAACAAGAUCAGAAGGACGAUGAUACACAAUCUCGCUAUGAGGAUAAUGUAACUUAACCUGUUUGCUAAGCCGACAAACUGACAACCUAAAGACACACCGCCAGAGACAGAUCCAAGAAGACCAUGUCGAACUAAGGAUGAGAGACUAGAGCCACACAAGUGACCAAGAUGAUUCCAAAAGAGCCGGUAAACAAAGUAACCGAGGCAGAGAGACUGGCGGCGGUGGCAGCAAAGGGAAGGAUAAGCCAGAUAAGCACCAAGAGGACCUGGGAAUUACAACGUCGAGGGCCAACACCAAGUAGAGCAUCAGUGUGAGGAUUCUAAUCAGAACAUGAACAUGAGAAUCUGGAGGUCGAAUGGCUGACAAACUGGAAGAAUCGUAAGUUAUAUGAAAAUACAUCCAGUACCAAGGAUCCAUGGAGAUGUACCUGGUUGUGUAAAAGGUGGUCACUCGGUACAAGAAAAAUUAGUAGCAAAACCUGUUAAUGUUGAACCAAAAGAAGCCGCUAGUAGAUACUUACGUCGCCUAACCUUCGGUGUAGUCAGGGUCUCAACUGAAGAGGUUGACAAAGGAGUACUGGGCAAUGAAACUAGUAGUAGGAAGUAGGUGUUUUGUUAAAGAUCGAAAACCCAAAUGUAUUUCUGGUUCUUCUUGUUUGGCUUCAUUUGGUUUUUGAUCUCGUUCUUUUGUGUUCUUUAUGGUUCUUUUCCUUCUUAUUGUUUCUUUUGUUUAUUUGUUUGCUUUUACAAGAAACCACAAAACAUUUCUUUCUCCCUUUUUUCUUUUGAAGUUCUUUGAGAAAACAACAAAAACAUUUCUUCAUUCUUUCUGCUUUUUCUUUGGAAGUUUAUCCAAUUGCCUCUGUGUUAAAACUUUGGAAAUCUUGUAUCUUUGCUUGUCUCUUUGCGUUAUUGUUUGCCUUCUUUGAGAAAACCAAAAAUUCCAAAAAUACUUCAGUAGUGUUUCUCUAAGUUCUUUGCCUUUUAUAUUUCAAAAAAUCCAAAAAUAUUUCUCUUUCAUUUUUCUUUUGUUUUCCUUCGUUUGCUUUUGGUUGUUCUUAUUGGCUUUUCUUGCUGUUUCUUUUUGUUGUUUCUUUCGUCUUUGUGUUUAAGUUGCAAAACCCAAAAAUUCCAAAAAGAUUUCUUGUUUGCAUCUUAUUGAGUCUCGAAUGUUCAAAGUGUUCUUUUUGUUCUUUUUUCUUCCUAUUUUUUCUUUUGUAUGUUUCUUUCUUGUUUUCUAGAAACCCCAAAAGAUUUCAUUGUGCUUUUGUUCUUUUGAUGUUCUUUGAGAAAACAACAAAGAUAUUUCCUCGUUCGUUUUGCUUUUUCUUUGGAAGUGUAUUUUAUUGCCUCUUUGUUGAAACUUUAAAAAUGUUUUUUAUCUUUGCUUGUCUUUACAUUCUUGUUUGCCUUCUUCGAGAAAAACAAAAAUUCUAAAAAUAUUUUUGUUGCGUUUCUUUAAGUUCUUCUUUGCCUUUUAUCUUUACGAAAAUCCAAAAACAUUUCUCUUUCGUUGUUCGUUUGUUUUCCUUGUUUUCUUUUGGUUGUUCUUUUUGGCUUUUCUUUGCUGUUUUCUUUUCAUCAUUUCUUUUGUCUUUGUGUUUAAGUUGCAAAACCCAAAUAUUCCAAAAAGAUUUCUCUUUUGCUCUUAUUGAGUGUCAACUAUUUGAGGUGUUCUUUUGUUUUUUUCUUCCUAUUUUUCUUUUGGAUGUUUGUUGUUUGCUUUUAAUAGUAACCCCAAAAGAUUUAUUUGUCCUUUUGUUCUUUCGAAGUUCUUUGAGAACAAAAUGAAUAUUUUCUCGUUUGUUUUGCUUUUUCUUUGAAAGUUUAUUUGAUUGCCUAUUUGCUGAAACUUUGAAAAUAUUUUAUCUUUGUUUCUCUUUACGCUCUUGUUUGCCUUCUUUGAGAAAAAACAAAAGUUCCAAAAAUAUUUCUGUUGUGUUUCUUUAAGUUCUUUUUGGCCUUUUAUGUUUCCAAAAUUCCCAAAAAUAUUUCUCUUUUGAUGUUCUUUUGUUUUCUUUUGGUUGUUCUUUUUGGCAUUCUUUGCUGUUUUCUUUUUGUCGUUUAUUUCGUUUCUGUGUUUAAGCUGCAAAACCCAAAAACUCCAAAAGAUUUCUCGUUUGUGUCUUAUUGAGUGUCAAUUGUUUAAAGUGUUCUUUUUGAUUUAUUUUUCUUCCUAUUUUUUCUUUUAUUUGUUUGUUUUGUUGUUUUCUUUUAAAAUAAACCCUAAAAUAUUUCUUUGUCCUUUUGUUCUUUCGAAGUUCUUUGAGAAAACAACAAAAAUAUUUCCUCGUUCGUUUUGCUUUUUCUUUGGAAGUUUAUUUCAUUGCCUCUUUGUUGAAACUUUGAAAAUAUUUUAUCUUUGCUUCGCUUUACGUUCUUGUUUGCCUUUGAGAAAAAACCAAAAUUCCAAAAAAAAAUUCUAUUGUGUUUUUAAAGUUUUUUUCCUUCUAUGUUUUCGAAAAUCCAAAAAUAUUUCUCUUCCGUUGUUUUUUUGUUUUCUUUUGGUUGUUCCAUUUGGCUUUUCUUUGUUUUCUUUUUGUCGUGUUUUCGUCUUUGUGUUUAAGUUGCAAAACCCAUAAAUUCCAAAAAGAAUUCUUGUUUGCGUCUUAUUGAGCGUUAAGUGCUUGAAGUGUUCUUUUUGAUUUUUUUUCUUCCUAUUUUUCUUUUGUUUGUUGUUUGCUUUCUAAAAGAAACCCCAAAAGAUUUCUUUGUCCUUUUGUUCUUUUGAAGUUCUCUAAGAAAAGGAAAAAAUCUCGCUCUUUUUCUUUGAAAGUUUAAUUGAUUGACUCUUCAUUGAAACUUUGAAAAUCUUUUAUCUUUGCUUCUCUCUGUGUUCUUGUUUGCCUUCUUUGAGAAAAAAACAAAAAUUCCGAAAAUAUUUCUGUUGUGUUUCCUUGAGUUUGCCUUUUAUAUUUCUGAAAAUCAAAAAAUAUUCCUCUCUCGUUGUUCUUUUGUUUUCUUUGGGUUGUUCUUUUUGGCUGUUCUUUGUUGUUUCUUUUUAUUGUUUCUUUCACCUUUGUGUUUUAAGUUGCAAAACCCAAAAAUUGCAAAAAAGAUUUCUUGUUUGCGUCUUAUUUAGUUGAACUGUUGUUUGGAUCACUCUUCGAACCUCCUAACUGUUUGGAUGUUAAUCCCCUCUUGAUUACUUCUUUGUUUUUUUUUAUCAAAUUUUAGUCCUUGACGAUUCUCACUUGGAUUAUUUGAGGUUCUCUAGAAACUUGGAUUAUCACAUAUGUUUAAGCAUUAGCGACUUAUCUGCUAUUAAUCUUUGUUUGUAUGAUCUCUCCUAUUUAAUUUCUUCUUCGUCUACGUUUUCAACAAUUCUGGUUUGCAUUUGUGUCCUUUUGCCUAGAAACUUGGAUUAUACGUCUUAACGGGAGUGUCUUCAUGAUGAGUUAGGAUUAUAGUUAUCCUAUUUCUUUUCUUUUCUUCAGGGUUUAACUUUGUCAUGAAUUCUGAUUUUGAUUUGUUGGUGUUCUUUGAAAAUUGGAAUUAUAGGGUUGGUAGACUUCGAUGAUCUCGUUUUGGUAUAUAUGUAUGUAUGUUUUCUUUGGAUGCCAGAGAAACGGAGGGUAGUAGUCACGUAGAGAUGAAUCAAUGGUUAGAGAGGUUUUGUUUUUGUUAAUGGCUAAUUUGACUUCGAUGAUCUCAUUUUGGUAUGUAUGUAUGUCAUCUUUGGAUGCCACAGAAACGGACGGUAGUAGUUUCGUAGAGAUGAAUCAAUGGCUGGAGUGGUUUUGCUUUUGUUAAUGGCUAUUUUGAUUUAUUAUGGUUCAACGGUUCUUUUAUUUGGUCAGAUCUUCUUGGAUGAUGUUUUGGUGUUGAAUUGGAGUUUAAUUAUUUGGAUUAUAUAAUCCCUUUUGAUUACUUCUUGUUUGCAUAGUAUAAUUUAGUCCCUUAUGAUUCUUACUUGGAUUAUUGGUGGUUCUAAAUAUGGCUUGGCGGGAGCAACUUAUUUGUUAAUCUAUUUUGGAUGAACUAUCUUUAUUUAAUUUGUUCUCAGCUUUCACCUUGUAUGUAUCCCUUGCAUAUGUAGGGUUGGGUACUCUCAGAUAUGCAUAGAGAUAAGGUUCUUCAAGGGCAUCAUCAUAUUCUUCACCUUCUAAAGAUUCAUCUUCCUCCUCGUUGCCGCCAUCGUCAUUUUCCUCCUCUUCAGGCGGUGCGGCGGUCUUCCCCUUUGUAGGAGGAGCGCGGCUAGCCGCAGUCACCUUCACUGGCUCCAGCUCGAGCAGUGCUGCCAUCGCUGGGCUCAGAGCUUGCCCGAGCAGCAAAGGUACGGAUAGCAAGGCGGCGAAAGCCACGAACUACUACAAACAUCAACAAGUCAAGGCAGGACGAAGAAGAGAAAGAAAAGCCACUAUGAAUCUUAAGGCCACACGGCCCCGGGCUCCUUACCUCACUUGAGGGCUGGCAGCACUAAAAGGCUCCAUUAUGACAGUGAGCGGAAUUUUGUUUGGCCCUAGAUCUCUUAGGGUGUCGAUGCGGGCUCGCAGCUCGUCGUUGCUGAGCUCUCGUGUCGUUGCUUGAGUCGGAUCUUAAGGCCCCAUGUAAAGAUACAUGGGGUGAGCCCGAGUGGCUGGACUCGCCGCGCGAGUCCACGUCUUCAAGACUUGCUCCCCGGUCAGCCCGCGAUCGAUCAGCCCCCGGGCGUUGCUGGAUGUCUUCUUCAUCGGCUUCCAAGAUCUCUCAGACGCUUGGGUGGCUCAUUGAUGAAGGGUGGCAGAUCUCUUGCGAGCCCCGAAGCAUAGAACCAACCCUUAUGCCAGUUGCAGACUGACUUCGCCAAAGCAAUCUUGAAGUAGUCCGAUUCAAGCCGGAGCUGGAGGUUGGCGCCUUCAAGGUCGCGGAUAUCAUCGCCAUUCUUCUGGACCUUCACCAUGAAGUAGUAUCAAAACAACUCGAAGUUCGGGUUCGUCCCAAGGAAGCAUUCGCAAAGGGUGAUGAAGUUGGCGAUGUGGAGAAUGGCGUUGGGUGUCAAAUGAUGCAACUGACACGCGUAGGAGAACAAAAGCCCGCACACAAAGCUGUCCAACGGGAAAGCCAAACCUCGACAAAAGAACUGCUGGUGCAACACUCGCUUGUGCCGGCUGGUGCCAGGAUGGCCACGGCCCCGCCGUCCUCCAUUGAAGUACCUCCCAAGGCAGCAGAAAGUCGUCUUGAACCAACGCAGUGGAGAACCACUUGCCUGUGGUCUCGCCCGCGUCCUCGUUGGCGGAAGCGUUGUCCUUCCGCUCGUCAGCGGUGGUGGCCUUGGGAACGGUCCGGCCACGACCUCGACCGCGCUCUCCCUCGCCUCGCACCAUCAGCGGCUGGCUUGGGUGGAGAAGGAAAGAAAGGGAGGGCUCGAGGAGCAAGAGCUUGCGACAAUGGCGGUUCCGACAGGGGAGGGAGAAGUAGUAGCGGGAUCUGCGAGAGGAACAGAGGAAGUGGGGAAAUGUCUCUCUCCCCCCUCUUUAUAUCCCACCGGGAAAGCCAAGCAACGGCUUCGGUAGGUCGACAUGUGCCCCAUUUCCUUCGUGGUUUCCCACUACGCAGGAUGUGGGCGCGGAGAUCCAGCCAUUAUCAUCAUGAUGCAGCGGUCAAAGCGGAACCGACUGGCCAUCUCCCUAUCUUUUGACAGUGAUGACGGGAUGUGACAAAGCCAGUGGCAGCGACGCCUAGGUUCCUAUGGCUAGCAAUAAAUGAUUUGAAGAAGACUUGCCACCGGAGGCCGUGCAGCCAUGAAGCUGCGAAGACGCGACGCUGGAGGCCAUCCAGCCGUGAAGCCGCAUCAUUGCAAAGACGCGGGCUGCGAAGCCGUGAAGGUGAAAGAUGCAAAGCUGCUAGAUCGCGGCACCACAAAAUCAGGAGCUACGAAGCAACAGAGAUGCGUCGCUGGGGGCCGCGCGAUAGCCAAGUACAUAGAUUUUGAGGUCGGGCUACCGAGAGCUAGACUGUCUCCAUCACUGAAAAAGAGCCUGCCUAGAUUUCGUUCUCAAGGCAGCAAGGCUCCACAACUCCAGACAAGCUCGGCCGCUACUGACGGUACAAUAUACCGAGGGUGGCCCGUCCGCCGGGAAGCUCGAGACUUGGCUGGCUUCAGGGCCCAAGAGGCCUAGCGGCAUCCUUACCCAGCGAUUGGUCCAGGGGUCUAGGCUUGGAGAUAAAAUUUAUCCUUGGUGUGCAAGCCAAGAAGCUCUCACACUGAGGUCAGUUAGGACCCCUAUCAACCCUAGCUCUCUCCCCUUUAUAAGGCGAGGCUAGGGGUAGUUCGAGGCAUCUGUUCCAUUGCUCAGACCCUGAUAGCAUUCAUCAUCCUCCACUUGUAACCCCCUCGCACGAGUGCUCCCACAUCAACCCAAAACAAAGCAGGAGUAGGGUAUUACCUCGAUCAUGAGGCCCCGAACCUGGGUAAAACCCCCGUGCGAACUCCCUUUACUUCUGACUACGGUCUGCACCCUAACUGGGUCACUGACGGUUUUCUGCACCAUCACUGGUACUCUGGUAGUGAGUUGGAAUCUGUUUAAAUCGUAUGGUUUGCGAUAUAUCUCUCUAGGUUCGGUCCAUUAUAUGUACCCUUGAUCCAUGUGUUGGUCUUCUGUGCCUGUCGAUUGCACGAUAUAUUUAGGAGGUUUGGUCUCGUGGGCAAACCUUUGCUCUUUAACUGAGUCAGGUCAGUGCCUUUUCGGUGGUUUGUUCGAUUCAUUUGUGUUGGCCUCCAUGUGUUGGUUGCGCAGGACUGAAUCUGGUAUGUGGAGAUCAUGUCGAAGGGGGUUUGAGGAAGGUCUGAUUUGAGUUCAUGAGUUUCAUCAUUCAUCAUUUAAUAGGAGGUGGAUUCAGUGUCCUGAUUAAUUCUUAUUGUAGCAGUUGAUCUUGCUUUUGGUAUGUGUGUAUGUUCUCCUUUAGUUGCAGUAGAAGCAGGAGGGUAGUAGUUCUGCAGAGAUGAAUCAAGGCUGGAGAGGUUUGGUUUCUGUUCAUGGCUGAUUUGAUUCGUUAUGGUCAACUGUUAUUAUCAUCUGGUCAGAUCUUCUCGAAGUGGUGUUGAACUACUCAUCAACCUAGAACUUCGUGAUUGUUUGGAUGAUAUAAUCCCUUCUCGAUUCAGCUUCUUCAUUUGCACAGUACUCCCUCUGUAAACUAAUAUAAGAGCGUUUAGAAUACUAAAGUAGUGAUCUAAAUGCUCUUAUAUUGUUUACAGAGGGAGUACAAUUUAGUCCAUGAUUAUUCUUACUUGGAUUGUUGGUGGUUCUCCAGAAAUUGAGAUUAUAUUAUUUGCUGCAUGGCCAUCAUCUUUUUGGUUCGGUUUUGGUGUGGACCAGUUGGUUAUUGGGUGAACAAAUUUCACAGUACAAACUACUGAACGUACGCCAUCGCUGCCACGCCCGUGCCGCCCCGCCUCUUCCGACUCCGGUGGCAGGUCGGCGGCAACCGACGGAGGUCUGACCACGACAGUAACAACGAUGGAAACUGCACAAUCUCAGAAUAGAAGCUCAACAGCAAAUAUGGUCAAUGGGUAAUAAGCCUUGUUUUUUGCCUUGCUGUUGGCUGCAGCAGCACAUGCGAUGAGCUUAUUCAGCACGUGGACUUUGAAUCAAUAAGGCUGAUUGGAGUUGAAAUGAAUUUGAAUCAGGAAAAGGAUAUAGUGUAGGCUUAGCCUUGGACCAUAUAUGCACGCAGCUCAUGCAUUUCUACACGUAGUCCUAACUUUUAUUAACCUGUACAGUCCUAACUCCAAUAUAUACUUGGAUUCUGUAGAGCAACGGUAACUCGUCUGCCUACUAAUUCUGCUCCCGUAACAACGCUUUGCUGUAAUUAUGCAUAUCAAGUGCUCCACAUACAUAGUAUUCUGGAUGGUAGUAUAUUUCCUGGACCUUUUUCCCCAAUUUAUAAUGAUCUAAAAUGGUGUGCAUAUUAGGUUUUUAAAUGGACGAAAUGGAAUUCUUUUUGGAUGGAUAAGCAUGGCCUACCUGAGAAGGAAGUAUUCAUGUGCGACAGAAAAAUCUGCUUUGUUUGUGCCUUUUGGUUUUGUGGGCUCUUUUGCAGUUGCAGGGACAGAUGCACUAAGCAUCUUAGUCUAAAAAUUAUCUUGUUUGUGCAGUUGCAGGGUAACUAUCUGAACGCAGUGCAGAUUUUAGGUCAAAUAACACCCGUAUGAUAUAGAUAAUGGCUUCAUUGGAAAAACAUUGUAACCCUGUAUAUGAUCUAUUUUGUAUCCUGCAUGUUCUAAUAUUAACAGUUUUGAGUAGGUGCGUUCAUAAGACUCAGUAUGCAUUAGUGUUAUAUCUUGGAAGAAUGUGAAAUUGUUAUGCUUUGUACUGCAGGCCCUAGUUGCUGCUCCUUGGAAAAUAACCUUAAUGCUCAAUUGAAGUCCUUAAAGUUACUGGUUGCCAUCUGUAAUGUUAAAGAUACUCCCUCUGUCCCAAAAUAAGUGUCUCAACUUUGUACUAACUUUAGUACAAAGUUGUAUUAAGCUUGAGACACUUAUUUUGUGACGGAGGGAGUAAUAAAUAAAAGUUGGGCAUGCUAUUAGAGCUUCAUCCACUUGGAAAGACAUCUGAAACACAGAGUCUGUCAAAUAGUAUAGCACCUGUUUAAGGCUAGUUGUGCGCAAGGCAUUUUACUUUGGUGAGAUUACAUGGGUUAGAAUCUGGCACAUACAGUUUGCCCUUCUGUUCUUGCAUCAACUAGCAGCUCUUGCAACACCACACAUUUUGAUCACUGUUUCACGUCUACUUUUACUCCUUUUAGGUUUCGAAAAAAUCAUGGUUCAAUUAGUUUUAGGUCAGGAAUUAUGAAACACUUAGACAUUAAUUUAAAGGCUGAUUACGCAAGGCACUACUCUUUUAAAGACUGGGAGCCUUAUGCAUACUGGAGCACUGCUAACAUGUGUUUUGAUGAUGUUCAUCACUAAACAUUUGACUUUGCAGGCUUGUGGUCAGCUUGACUAGUUUCAAACAAUGGCGGAACGCUUGGCUUCGAUAUUUGGUACAGAGAAAGACAGUGUCAACUGUCCAUUUUUUACUUCAAGAUUGGAGCUUGUCAUCAUGGCGAUCGCCGCUCCUGCAUCCAUAACAGGCCAACCAUGAACAUGUAUCAGCGCUCUGAUAUGAUUACCCCUGGUCACAUGAUCCUUCGAAAUUAAGCAUCUCUUCGCCUUUAUAUACACUUGUUUACAUUAAUAUCUUUCCUCUGUACUUCACACACACACACACACACACAAACACACACACACACACACACACAUGUGACCUUGAAGGAAUAUUUGGAACGAAGUUUUCUAAGUUUUGUUGCACAGAGGAACAUAUGCCAUUUGUUUAGAAGUACAAGGAAGGAAUCAGGAGUAUGCUUGGAAGUGACCUCAAAGGAACGCUUUGAAAUGAAGUUUGCAAAGUUUGUUGCUCAGAGGAGAGGAGCACUGAUCUGCUAGGGUGCAACACAAUUCUUCUAAGGCAGGACCGAGGGAAGCACACUGUUAAUUCUAAAGAUGCUGAUGCUGAUGGAACUAUGGAAUGAUUGGGAGCUACAGCUACUGGUGCUCCUAGGCUUCACGCUACAGAUUUUCAUCUUCUUUUCUGGUGGCCUCCGGCGGUGCAGAACUAACUAAGGCUGAGGCUUCUGAUUUCGUUGGCUUACUUGCUAUCUGACAUGGUCGCAGUCUAUGCUCUUGGCCAGCUUUCACUGCUUAACAAUGAUGUGCCUGGAGCUGGAGAAAUGCACCGGCUCUCGUUUUUUUCGACGCCUUUCCUCAUUCAUCUUGGUGUGAUUCUACUUGUAUGAAAACAGGUCAAUUUCCUGAUCUAGAAGGCAAGCUGGAAUUGGACUAUCUGACACUUGUGAAGUGUGCUUUAUCUAGCGCAUCAGGUGUCAGAAAUCUAUUUGUUGGUUGCAAGCUUGCUAAAAUUGAAGGUAACAUACAGAGAACAUUUACUGGAGAGUGGCCAUAGAGUGGACGAGCUCGCUUGCUCCUGCUAGGUGGACCAAUGGAACAAUCAGGCGUUGGUAGGUGUAUUAAGUGCGGGGUAGGAAGCAGGGAAACAUACGCGGCGUCCAACAGUAGUAUACGGUGACGUGCGGAUAUGCAAAACGGCGGUCGGGCUCAGAUGAGCUCUCUAUCUAGGCUCCCAGUAUGCUUCUAGAUUCGUGCUCGUCAGUGUAUAUAUGAUGUGUAUUUUUGCUUUUCUAUUCCCUCUGUUCCUAAAUAUUUGUCUUUCUAGAAAUUUCAACAAAUAACUACAUACAAAGCAAAAU